GGAGAUGUACCGAAAUAUAAAAGGAUUACAUUCAAUUGUAGACCCGCACGCAAUAAAUAAGAUGUCUACACACCUGUUGAAGAUAUGUUCUUCACCAAUCUGUUCUCUGGGAGGAGAAACGGUUCCACUCGAGGCAGAGGAUGAGGCUGUGGAUGAGGUCCGUGUUAAUGACAUCUUAACUGAUCAGGCCUGCAACAAGAGCGAGUGGUGAAAUUGCCGGCGACCGGAUGUGCAGCCAAGGGCUAAGGUUAGGGGGCAGUUCUUUUCACCUCACGAUCAGCUGUCCAGUUCUUUUCUGUGAUUCUAGCAUGUGAUUGUUGUAUGAGUUGUGUGCUGAAAUGUCUGUAACGCCCCUAGAUUGAACUGAGUGCUGAAUUGCUAAUACUUGGUUAUUUCUGACAGUUUCAUGUCUAAUAUGAACAUGAAAGCUACUUGCAAAUUUAAUGUGAAUUUAGUAAGCAAAUUUGUUUGUCCUACAUCCGACAAAGUGGUGUUUCCAGGGGCGCGGUUAUUUGCUCGCACCAACUACGCACACAUCCAUAUAAAUGGAAUGAGCUGCACUAUCCCAAAUGGCUUUAGGAUGCUUCAGUUUCUCCAUCAACAUCCAUAUGUGAACGUUUUAAUGUAUAGAUUUUUUUUCAUUGCUAAACACAGUUGAAAAAGAGUUUGUAUUUUUUCCUUGCUAAACAGAAUGUGUAUUUUUUUUCAUUGCUAAACAAAUUGCAUAUGUGUGUACUAUCGCGAGCAGCAGCAGCCAAGCAACAGCGGCAGCAAAGCAGAGCACCAGCGAAGCAGAGCAGCAGCGGCCAGAUGGGGUGUCCGUAGCCAUGCUAGAGAGGUAGGGGAGGAGAGAAGCUCACCAACAGAGGCAGGGGUGGCCGGAGCUCUUGAUGAUGGCAGCUGACUGGACAAGGCGGCCGAGCACGCAGGUGUUGGCCGACGGGACGGGGCGUGGGGGGUGGCGGGGAAGGGGACGGGGCGGAUGGCCGCGCAGUUCUCCGGGAUGGCGGCGGACGGUCAGGGUCGCCGGAUCUGACGCCGCCGCGGCGGGGUUGGAGGCUGGCGGCGCUGAGCCCUAGCUCACUACGAGACGAGCGAGCGGUGGGGAACGAGACAAGCGAGCGAGGGCUCUCGUGGUAUGCAUCGGUCGU
RNAcentral lists this long non-coding RNA (1151 nucleotides) under Hordeum vulgare. RNAcentral's name for it is "long non-coding RNA (HVUL_LNC017889)". The record is from RNAcentral. Lineage: Eukaryota; Viridiplantae; Streptophyta; Magnoliopsida; Poales; Poaceae.